UUUAUGGAGAGUUUGAUCCUGGCUCAGGAUGAACGCUGGCGGCGUGCCUAAUACAUGCAAGUCGAGCGAACAGAUAAGGAGCUUGCUCCUUUGACGUUAGC
Molecule: ribosomal RNA, 101 nt
Filed under: Staphylococcus warneri
Lineage: Bacteria; Bacillati; Bacillota; Bacilli; Caryophanales; Staphylococcaceae
Also listed under: 1 other name
Description: partial 16S ribosomal RNA
Rfam family: Bacterial small subunit ribosomal RNA
Source: RNAcentral